RNAcentral lists this transfer RNA (24 nucleotides) under Oxycarenus lavaterae. RNAcentral describes it as "partial tRNA-Leu". The record is from RNAcentral. Lineage: Eukaryota; Metazoa; Arthropoda; Insecta; Hemiptera; Oxycarenidae.
UCUAAUAUGGCAGAUAGUGCAUUG